This 264-nucleotide ribosomal RNA is filed under the name Escherichia coli. RNAcentral's name for it is "partial 16S ribosomal RNA". It matches the Rfam family "Bacterial small subunit ribosomal RNA", at positions 1 to 261 of the family's 1533-position model. The record is from RNAcentral. Lineage: Bacteria; Pseudomonadati; Pseudomonadota; Gammaproteobacteria; Enterobacterales; Enterobacteriaceae.
AAAUUGAAGAGUUUGAUCAUGGCUCAGAUUGAACGCUGGCGGCAGGCCUAACACAUGCAAGUCGAACGGUAACAGGAAACAGCUUGCUGUUUCGCUGACGAGUGGCGGACGGGUGAGUAAUGUCUGGGAAACUGCCUGAUGGAGGGGGAUAACUACUGGAAACGGUAGCUAAUACCGCAUAAUGUCGCAAGACCAAAGAGGGGGACCUUCGGGCCUCUUGCCAUCGGAUGUGCCCAGAUGGGAUUAGCUAGUAGGUGGGGUAAC